GAAAAGCUUUUAUGAAAUCUAAAAAGUUUCUUGAAUAAGGACUGGGUAAGACGGGUGCCAGCCGCCGCGGUAAUCCCCGCAGUCCAAGUCGCAGCCAUCUUUAUUGGGUCUAAAACAUCCGUAGCUUGCUUAAUAAGUUUCUCGUGAAAUCCCAUGUCUCAAAUAUGGGGCGAGCGAGAAGUACUAUUAAGCUAGAGACCGGAAGACGUAAAGAGUACGAUAGAAGUAGUGGUAAAAUAUGUUAAUCUCUGUCGGACUAACAAUAGCGAAGGCACUUUACGAGUACGGUUCUGACAGUGAGGGAUGAAGGCUAGGGGCGCAAAGUGGAUUAGAUACCCAUGUAGUCCUAGCAGUAAACACUGCGCACUAAACAUUGGAACCUCCUCGGGAGGUUUCAGUGCUGAAGGGAAGCCGAAGAGUGCGCUACCUGGGAAGUAUAGCCGCAAGGCCGAAACUUAAAGGAAUUGGCGGGGGAGCAC
This 479-nucleotide ribosomal RNA is filed under the name uncultured archaeon. Its description in RNAcentral is "bacterial SSU rRNA". It matches the Rfam family "Archaeal small subunit ribosomal RNA", at positions 401 to 879 of the family's 1478-position model. The record is from RNAcentral.